GAUGAACGCUGGCGGCGUGCCUAACACAUGCAAGUCGAACGAAGAGGCCCCUUCGGGGGUACUUCAGUGGCGGACGGGUGAGUAACACGUAGGCGACCUGCCCCGAAGCAGGGGAUAACGGCUCGAAAGGGCCGCUAAUACCCAAAAGGGUCGCGUAUCAAAGCGCGAUCAGAGUUACGGCGUUUCGGGAGGGGCCUGCGGCCCAUCAGCUAGUUGGUAGGGUAAAAGCCUACCAAGGCGACGACGGGUAGGGGACCUGAGAGGGGUGACCCCCCACACUGGCACUGAAACACGGGCCAGACACCUACGGGAGGCUG
RNAcentral lists this ribosomal RNA (317 nucleotides) under uncultured Chloroflexota bacterium. RNAcentral describes it as "bacterial SSU rRNA". It matches the Rfam family "Bacterial small subunit ribosomal RNA", at positions 28 to 351 of the family's 1533-position model. The record is from RNAcentral. Lineage: Bacteria; Bacillati; Chloroflexota.